This 77-nucleotide transfer RNA is filed under the name Caudoviricetes sp. Its description in RNAcentral is "tRNA-Ser". The stretch from base 7 to 65 matches the Rfam family "tRNA", at positions 7 to 64 of the family's 71-position model. Rfam says of the family: Transfer RNA (tRNA) molecules are approximately 80 nucleotides in length. Their secondary structure includes four short double-helical elements and three loops (D, anti-codon, and T loops). Lineage: Duplodnaviria; Heunggongvirae; Uroviricota; Caudoviricetes. The record is from RNAcentral.
GGAAAUAUGGUGUAAUGGUAGCACGCUGGGAGUUGAAAUCCAGAAGUUUUGGUUCGAAUCCAUCUUAUAAAUUCUCA